CGAGGCUGCACCCUUGGCAGAAAGAACACCUGACAUGGCUGAAAGCUUGGUGGAAAAAACACCUGACGAGGCUGCACCCUUGGCGGAAAGAACACCUGACAUGGCUGAAAGCUUGGUGGAAAAAACACCUGACGAGGCUGCACCCUUGGCGGAAAGAACACCUGAUAUGGCUGAAAGCUUGGUGGAAAAAACACCUGAUGAGGUUGCACGCUUGGUGGAGGGAACAUCUGACAAAAUUCAAUGUCUGGGGAAAGCAACAUCUGGAAAGUUUGAAUAGUCAACAGAAGAAACACCUAGGAAAAUUUUGAGGCCUACAAAAGAAACAUCUGAGAAAUUUUCAUGGCCAGCAAAAGAAAGACCUAGGAAGAUCACAUGGGAGGAAAAAGAAACAUCUGUAAAGACUGAAUGCGUGGCAGGAGUAACACCUAAUAAAACUGAAGUUUUGGAAAAAAGGUACAUCUAAUAUGAUUGCAUGUCCUACAAAAGAAACAUCUACAAAAGCAAGUACAAAUGUGGAUGUGAGUUCUGUAGAGUCCACAUUCAGUCUUUUUGGCAAACCGACUACUGAAAAUUCACAGUCUACAAAAGUUGAGGAAGACUUUAAUCUUACUACCAAGGAGGGAGCAACAAAGACAGUAACUGGACAACAAGAACGUGAUAUUGGCAUUACUGAACGAGCUC
Molecule: long non-coding RNA, 681 nt
Filed under: Pan troglodytes (chimpanzee)
Lineage: Eukaryota; Metazoa; Chordata; Mammalia; Primates; Hominidae
Description: long non-coding RNA NONPTRT007647
Source: RNAcentral